ACCACUGCUAGCCCAAUACGCCCCACACACUAAAAUAUAUCAGCAAAUAAAUUAAAUCAUUUAGUUACGAAUCAAAGUACAGGAGAUGGAAAUGAAAUAUUGGCGCUAUAGAGAUAGUACCGUAAGGGAAAGAUGAAAGAACCUAAGUAUAAGUACAAAAAAGCAAAGAUUAACCCUUGUACCUUUUGCAUAAUGGAUCAACUAGAACAAGUCUAGCAAAAAGAAUUGAAGUUAGACACCCCGAAACCAAACGAGCUACCUAAGAACAAUUUUAUGAAUGAACCCGUCUAUGUGGCAAAAUAGUGGGACGAUUUUUAGGUAGAGGUGAAACGCCUAACGAGCUUGGUGAUAGCUGGUUGUCCAGGCAAGAAUUUUAGUUCAGCUUUAAAUUUACUCAAAGAACACCAAAAUCCCCACGUAAGUUUAAUUGCUAGUCUAAAGAGGGACAGCUCUUUAGAUAAAGGAUAAAACCUCAGUUAGAGAAUAAGAACCCAAUAUUAACAUUGUUGGCUUAGAAGCAGCCACCAAUAAAGAAAGCGUUAAAGCUCAAAUUACUAUAACUACAACCUGAUUCCUCUAGCAGCAACAAAUUCCUAACUUGACCACUGGACCAAUCUAUUUUUCAAUAGAUGAGAUAAUGUUGGUAUGAGUAACAAGAAUGACUAUUCUCCUAGCACAAGUGUAUAUCAGAUCGAAUGAUUCACUGAUAGUUAACUCAAAAUGAAUAAACAAACAUAACCAAGCCUCUUUCUAACAAUUGAGUUGACCCGACACAGGAGUGCGUAUAGGAAAGAUGAAAAGAAGUAAAAGGAACUCGGCAAACACAAGCCCCGCCUGUUUACCAAAAACAUCACCUCUAGCAUGAAAAGUAUUAGAGGCACUGCCUGCCCGGUGACUUACGUUAAACGGCCGCGGUAUCCUGACCGUGCAAAGGUAGCAUAAUCAUUUGUUCCUUAAUUAGGGACUUGUAUGAACGGCAAGACGAGGGUUUAACUGUCUCUUACUUCCCAUCAGUGAAAUUGACCUCCCAGUGAAGAGGCUGGGAUAAAGAAAUAAGACGAGAAGACCCUAUGGAGCUUUAAUCUAAUGGCUUACUAGACUACCGACUCUCACCUCUACGGAGAUUAAAAAUUUAGCCUAAAAUAAGCCUGCGAUUUUGGUUGGGGUGACCUCGGAGAAUAAAAAAUCCUCCGAAUGAAUAAAACUAAGAUUCACGAAUCUAAGUUAUUAAUUCAACUUAUUGACCCAAAAUUUUUAAUAUUUGAUCAACGGACCAAGUUACCCUAGGGAUAACAGCGCAAUCCUAUUUGAGAGUCCAUAUCGACAAUAGGGUUUACGACCUCGAUGUUGGAUCAGGACAUCCCAAUGGUGCAGAAGCUAUUAAAGGUUCGUUUGUUCAACGAUUAAAGUCCUACGUGAUCUGAGUUCAGACCGGAGUGAUCCAGGUCGGUUUCUAUCUAUUAGCAAUUUCUCCCAGUACGAAAGGAUCAGAGAAAUGGAGCCUCCUAUAACAUUAGCGCUCCUAUAAUUAUAGAUGAAAUAAUCUUAAUCUAGAAACUAUGCAAAAUAUACAACCCAAGACCAGGGUU
Molecule: ribosomal RNA, 1589 nt
Filed under: Euchoreutes naso (Long-eared jerboa)
Lineage: Eukaryota; Metazoa; Chordata; Mammalia; Rodentia; Dipodidae
Description: 16S ribosomal RNA
Rfam family: Bacterial large subunit ribosomal RNA
Source: RNAcentral